GAGGAUCCCAGGACCCAGAAUCACAACCAGACCUGAAGGCAGACACUCAACAGACUGAGCCAUCCAGGUGCUGCCCCAAGCACCUUGUUUUAAUAGCAGGAAACCGACGCCCAGCCCUUCCUGCCACCUCUGCGCAGACCCGGGAAGAGGUAAAGCCCGGAUCCCCCUUAGCAUGAGGUGGGGCGCCACGUAGGAACUGGCCUUGACCAUGAUAUUCCUGAUUCUGCGGCUGGCCGCACCACGUUUUCUCCAACACCGCCAGGUGAUCGGUCCGCAGCGGGGAGAGCAGCUAAUUCGAGAGCCCUGAGUAGAACUUAAAGUUCUUGCCACCGUCAAGAGAGCUCUCCUGCUCAAUGACCUGGCCCCUGCCUGCUUCUCCCACCUUAAACACCUAUCAGAAUGGCAGUGAUUGGUGAUUCAUUCCGUGGCUCCAAAUUAAAUAUGAACAAAAUGCACACAAUAGCUCUGCUCCUCUGUGCACUGAGGCGCUUAGCAAACCCACUUCCUGGCCAGGGAGACCCUGACGCACCAGCACAGGGGGGCUCGGACAGAUCCUCUGCCUGCGGUGGAGACAGCUUUGUCAAGAGCUCUGCCCUGGGAGGGCCUGUGGAGCUGAUGAAGAAUGACAUUUCUGUCCUUUCAUCCAUUAAAAAACAGGGGGCUACGGGCAACAUGGUAGCCUGCACUGGACCCUGGAAAGAAGGACGUUGGUGGAAACACUGGCGAAACCCAAAUCAAUCUAGCAUUUAGUUCAUGGUGCGGUAGUCGCCCCUUCUCUGUGGUUUGGCUUUCCAUGUUUCCGUGACUGGAGGUCAGCCGUGUCCUGAGCAGACGAUCCUCUUCCUGCCACAUCAUCAGUAGGUCAGCAGUAGCCUGAUGUCAUAUCCCCGUGCCUGUGUCCCCCACCCUACGUCCUCCCCUCACGUGGCCACGAUAUUCUCUCACCUUAUCAAAGAAGAAAUGUGAGUGCAGCACAAUAUUUUGAGAGAGAGACAGACCACAUUUCACAUAACUUUUUAAAAAAUUGUUUUUAUUUA
This is a long non-coding RNA of Lutra lutra (Eurasian river otter), 1037 nucleotides long. RefSeq lists it as uncharacterized. The record is from RefSeq and is a predicted model, not a curated record. NCBI's taxonomy places the organism in Eukaryota, Metazoa, Chordata, Mammalia, Carnivora, Mustelidae. The transcript is spliced from 5 exons.